GUGCUCCCCCGCCAAUUCCUUUAAGUUUCUCUGGUUGAUCCUGCCGGACCUUACUGCUAUCGGGGUGGGACUAAGACAUGCGAGUCGAGCGUCUCUAGCUAUGUUGAGACGCGGCAUACGGCUCAGUAACACGUGGCUAACCUACCCUCAGGACAAGGACAACCCCGGGAAACUGGGGCUAAUACUUGAUAGGUGAGGAUGCCUGGAAUGGUUUCUCACUCAAAGGACUUUGGAAACAUGCUUCCAAAGUCGCCUGGGGAUGGGGCCGCGUCCGAUCAGGUUGUUGGUGAGGUAACGGCUCACCAAGCCUUUAACCGGUACGGGCCGUGGGAGCGGUAGCCCGGAGAUGGGUACUGAGACAACGACCCAGGCCUUACGAGGCGCAGCAGGCGCGAAACCUCCGCAAUACACGAAAGUGUGACGGGGUUACCCAAAGUGUCCAUCUUUGGACUGUGGUAGGUGAGUAAUGUCCCCUACUAGAAAGGAGAGGGCAAGGCUGGUGCCAGCCGCCGCGGUAAAACCAGCUCUUCAAGUGGUCGGGAUAAUUAUUGGGCUUAAAGUGUCCGUAGCCGGAUUAGUAAGUUCCUGGUAAAAUCAAGUAGCUUAACUAUUUGUAUGCUAGGAAUACUGCUAUUCUAGAGGGCGGGAGAGGUCUGAGGUACUACAGGGGUAGGGGUGAAAUCUUAUAAUCCUUGUAGGACCACCAGUG
Molecule: ribosomal RNA, 709 nt
Filed under: uncultured archaeon
Lineage: Archaea
Description: bacterial SSU rRNA
Rfam family: Archaeal small subunit ribosomal RNA
Source: RNAcentral